RNAcentral lists this ribosomal RNA (253 nucleotides) under uncultured bacterium. RNAcentral describes it as "partial 16S ribosomal RNA". It matches the Rfam family "Bacterial small subunit ribosomal RNA", at positions 524 to 776 of the family's 1533-position model. The record is from RNAcentral.
UACGAAGGGGGCGAGCGUUGUUCGGAUUUACUGGGCGUAAAGGGCGCGCAGGCGGUUCUGUUUGUCGAGUGUGAAAGCCCCGGGCUCAACCUGGGAACUGCGCUCGAAACGGCGGAACUAGAGUUCGGGAGAGGAGAGUGGAAUUCCCAGUGUAGAGGUGAAAUUCGUAGAUAUUGGGAAGAACACCGGUGGCGAAGGCGGCUCUCUGGGACGGUACUGACGCUGAGACGCGAAAGCGUGGGGAGCGAACAGG